This 7524-nucleotide long non-coding RNA is filed under the name Lactuca sativa (garden lettuce). RNAcentral's name for it is "long non-coding RNA (LSAT_LNC007153)". Lineage: Eukaryota; Viridiplantae; Streptophyta; Magnoliopsida; Asterales; Asteraceae. The record is from RNAcentral.
GUCAUUUACCUACCUUCAAAUAUUUUAUAGCUUGGAUUACGACAUCCCUCUUCCAACUAUAAAUAGUUUGUUGGAUCCUAGCCUUAAUAUUUCAUUUAGGUGACUUAUUAAGGACUCUUUAUCUAAUAAAACUUGUCUUUCUUUCUUUCAGAUGUCUUCCAAGACUGCUACUGGCUCAAACCCUACAGGCUCUUUUUCCCUAAUGAACUUGUGUGGGAAAGUCACUUUUGAUGGUUCCAAUUUCAAUGAAUGGAUUAGGUGUUAGGUUUAGAUCAAUCUAACACUCCUAAGUGUACAUGCGACCCUAAAUACCUUGGAUCUAUGUUUUCUUAUUAUACAUGCNUUUCCGAGGUAUUCAUCCUAACUAGCAUAAUAACAUUGAUUCAUAUGAAUAUAUCAAGUUAGAAUUACAUACCUCUUUGAUGUAGAAUGUCUUCAUGCAGAUUGAGUGCCUAGUGCCCAAAGUGUGACACCUCAAAUGGUUCACACAACACCAAAUACACUUGGAAUAGAUUAGAGAGAAAUCCACACUUCAUAAAAUCGGCUAGCCCUUUCACAUAUACUCUAGUGCCGAUUUUUUUCACCAAUAAGAUCUUUAUAUAGUGUCAUAAUUAGGGUAAGCCCUAAUUGUCAUGGCUUUCCAUUUCCUUGGAUCCAUGGGUUCAAAUACACCAUGGAGCAUCCUAUGGGUUUUAGCCCAACUUGAUAAUCCAUGGAGCAUUAGCCCACUAUACAAGUAUGGAUGAUUUACACAAUCAACCCAUAUAUUUAAUUAGUCUUCUUUUGAUCACUUAAUUAAUCCUAGAUUAAUUCUUGAUCAAUACUAAUUAAAUAAUCUUAUUAAUAUAUUAGAACUUAUAAUAUAUUAACAAACCUUAAGUGUUAUUUCUCUCAUUAUAGUCUAUCCAAAUGCAUGAUGCCAUGCAACCCAAAUGGACCAUGCCGGGUCGGGUCAAGUCUUACCAAUUAUAGUUAUGGACUUAGACAUUAAUCCAACAGUCUCCCACUUGGAUAAGUCUAAAACUAUUAUUGCAAGUAUGACUUCAAGAACCGACUGGCAAUCGUAGCUCUCAAAAGCUUCUGUCGAACUCUGACCUUGUCGAUGAACUCUGACCUUUGUCAAUGACUUGUCCAUUAGAUAAGGGAUCAUAUAUUCCUCCAUUCUAGAUAUCAUAUGGACUGAGACAUGGAUUAUAAUCAUUCUCUCUGUCCAUUUGUUGUUUCCCGAUUUCCGAUUUAUGACGACUGACUAAUUGAACAAAUCAAAUCAGUCCUGGCCCGGCCGAGCACUUCCAUUUGUCAUCAUCAAAUCAUCGAGGGGCCCACAGAUAUCGCUUUUAUCCCGAAGGUAAAAGGAAUGGAUAAACUUCGACUCAUAUGGCUUGUUCUACUACUUGUUGAAUCAUACACAAAGGCACGUUUUAUAGCACCGAGUUACCAAAUGCGUUUUCGUGCAAUCAAUGUACUAUCAACUCAUAGUAACAACUCAUAUCUCUAGGUUUGAAGAAUAUAAGAUAUUAUCGUCUCAUGAUCACUCGUGAUAAAAUCCAUGAAGUGAUUCCAAUGAGCGCGGGUUGAAUCCAAUACUCAGAACUUAUGAGCACUCAUGAGUGUUGUAGCCCUUUGUCCAACACCUUAGACCUCUACAAGCCAACCCAUGACAGUCUUAAUUCAUAUCUACUUCCAACAUAUGACCGACUGUGGAUGGUUUGAAUAACUUAGUCAUUCCGGAAGAAUAACCUAGUUUAUUCGGGAAGUCAAAACAUGCAAAGUGAAACACAAUAAUAAUUGAAUCCAAUAUGGUAUCAAAACUUUGAACAUAAAUAAAACACCUUUUAUUUAUCACCAUAUGAUUACACAUUAUUCAUUGUAUACUGUUUCAGCUAUCAACUUUAUUCUUGAAUUUAAAACAAUAGUUGUCCCAUGCUCCAAGCAUGUACACUAUGUUUUCUUAAACACUAGUCAUGCCACACACCAAGUAUGCAUACUAUGUUUGUCUAUGAUCUUUACUUUGUGAACUAGAUCAAUUGAACAUAACUUCAAUGAUUCUCUUUUCACACUCCCAAAUCCUUACUGCAAAUGCAAGAAUUCCAAAUUCAUGCCAUUUACUGAAAUCUGUUAGAUUCUAAACUUAUAUGCAUUGAUCCUCUUGUAAUGAUUAUGCACAAAGUCAGAAAGACUUGACAACAAUCAUUACAGAGUAUUCCAAAGGAGAUCAGCUCCUUGGAAACAUCCUUCUUGCAUUAAGUUUCCUAAUCUUAAACAGAUUGAAAAUUCUAACUUUGAAACAUUUCCAGAUUCCAUUUUGACUAUCACUUCUGAACAAGAGUUGCCUCCUUACAGAUUAUGUCAAUAUGGUCCUUCCAGAAUUAUCACUAUACUUCCAACUGUCCUUGAGCAACCAAUCUUUGGUAAACCUUAGAUUGUCCUCGACAAUUGUUUAAUCCUUUUAGUCAUAUCCAGUUCUAAACCUUUUCCCUUCUUAAUGCCCCAGGCAUUUGGAAAAUUUUAGAACGGAUGAAUAUAGCACAUGUAAUCGAUCCUAUAUCCGAAGCAUAUGGGACACGAUUCAUGAUGUCUCACAUAAAGACUAAACCAGUCUUUUGCUAUAACAUUUCCAUUUCAAUUUGCCAAGUUCUCAUAAUUCAGAUUAUGAAAAGGGAUGCCGUAAUCAUAAUCGAAUUUUAGAACGCAAAUAAUGGACCCAUAUACAGAAUUUCCUUAUGUUGAGCCAUUCCAACAUGAAAUUCAUAUAUAUCCUUGACUAAAUGAUUAAAACCUCACGAUCUAAGCUUAUAGAUUUGAGAUGAAGUAUAAUUUCCUCUCCCUUAAUUAUAGCAAAACAACUUUUUCCCAAUUGAAACUUUUGUUUUCUAUAAUUAACAUUGCUAACUUGCAAUACUUAUCAUAAUUAUCAUGCUCCCACUAACAUGAUGAUUAUUAGCAUAACACUUAUGCUCCCACUAGCUUUGACAUGUACUCAGAAAUCAGCUGGACUUCUAGAAAUCAAUACUUCAUUGACUUUCUUACCAAAGUUCAGAUUUCUGAUGCUAGAUUGUUUUGAUAAAACUUUAUCAAAAUCAUACACCUUCCCUUAGAUAGCACACUUGUGUAUCUAAACAAUUAUGAAGAGGGAUGCCGUAAUCAUAAUGUUUAGACCUUUUUGCCACUUCUCACAAGUCCAAAUUAGUGUGCCGGUUAACCACACGCGCUCCACUAACGACUUUGAGAAUGCAAAUAUCACAAUUGCUAUCUAGCUAAAAUCUACUUAGUGAAAGUGUUUCCUCACCAUCAUUUUCAUGAAUCGGAGAGAAACCUUAUGACACUUAGAUUUAAUGGUGUAUGUGUUCUUAUCCAUGUGAAUUGUCAAAAUCAUAGUCACAAGACAAGGAUAAUGACAAAUCCAAACUCAUAUGGACUGAACUCAAUCUUAAUUUCUUGCCACCUGGCAGCUCAAAGGCUUGCCAUUGCUUCCAAGUUGUUGUGCAACCAAUUAAGAACUCUAAGAACUCAUAUGCAAAGCCAACUUUAAUUGGAAUGGGCAUAGAAUAUGUCAACACGAUAGGUUAUAAACCUCAAGUCGUGUGCUAGUGAAGAACUUCAGGUUUUAUUCUUGAUUAGUUCUUGAGACUUUCAAGACCUUUAAGACUCCCACUGUCCUCUUGACAUAUAAGACUUUCUUGUCAGAUAUUCAAGAGAUAAUGUGGAUUCUAAUCAAGACAAACACUUCACACAAUUGGCCUUAGUUGGUCUUUGUUUUUAUCCAAAACAUCACAACUUACCAAUUUCAAAUGUACAAGAGUAGAAAAAUUUUACUCUUACAUUUGAAAAGUGUUUUAAACCUUCUUUAAGACAUGUCACUCAAGUUACAAUCUUGGAGUAUGACUCUAAGACUUUUAUUGGAACGAAGUAUGACUCAUCUUCUUGAUUUAACCAUUCCAACAAUUCAAGAUUCCUCUUCUUAGUCAUAAGAAUGCACUAGGAUUUCCUUAGAGAACUAAUUGUGAUAUGGUUUCUUAAUCAUUAAGAUGAUCACAACAACUGAUACUAAAGUACUCUCCCAUCUUUCCAGAUUUGAGAAACUUUUAUCCUUCUACCUAAGUUGAUUCUUCUUAUUCGCUCUCCAUACAUUGGAUCUUUUCCAAUGUUUCAGAACUUAUACUUAAGCUUGUAAGUAUAACCAUAUUUACUAAACCUUAGUAAAUAAUGACGAACAGUCUUAUCGAUCUUUUGUGGUGGACUUAACCAGUGCACAAGAAUGUGUACUCGAUCCCUUAGUCCUUCACUUGACUCACACAUCCAUGUGAACAAGUAGUUAGUCUUAAUUUUUUUUUCCAAUGCUUGAAGGUUCUCAUUCAUCAUGCUAUACAACUUGCAUGAUUCCAAAUUUCUAUCCAACUGAACCUUGGGUGACGAGAGUCUUUCCUUAUUUGGUAAAUUUAGACAUUACCAAAAAUUAGAGAAUCAAAUUCACUUUCCAAUAUUGCUAUCAGUGGAAUCUUAUAAGCAACAAUUUUCCACAAACGCCAUUGUAAGGAUACAUAAAAUAAAUAAAAUCAAAAUUUCCUAUUAUUUUAAAACUUUGCGGAAAAACUUAUCCUUACAAUCCAUAUGAAAACUUGUUGUUAUCUAUUCCUAAAAAAUAUCUCAUAACUCCUAAAAAGUAGCUCAAGAAUCCGAUCUUCAAACUAUGCGAUAGAAAUCCAUCUACGCGAUCAGAUUCAACAUAUUCUUUCUUUAAGUUCCUUCACUUUUCUUUGAUUUUUAAAACAUCACCAUGUGACCCAGUCACAUCAUGUAUCAAGAAUCUCAGAAUAGAAACUUAGCAGAGUUAGAUAGUAGACUUUACUUGAAGUAGAGUUUAACUUAUUGACUUUAACACCUUUAGGUAAAUUGGCAGCUUCGCAACCAAUGCCCAUUCCUUUGGCAAUUUAACAUAUGGAUGCUUUGGUAAUGGAACAUGGGACUAUCACAGACUUAGCCUUUCUCUUUACCAUUUGGUCAACCGAGUUGACUAUGGCCGAUCCCUUUCCAUUGGGAAGAGAGAGAUUUACUGGAUAUCCAAUGUCAUCAUUGUCAAUGUCCAUAAUGUUUUGGAAGUUGAUCUUAGCAAAUAGACAAGAUCAUUAUGGGUCUUGUCAUAUUCUGUUUCAUAGGAGUCCCAAAGGAACUCACUAUGUGACUUAGAAAGUAGUUGAGCCACGAACUUUCUCAAGACUUUGACACCCAACUCUCCCGGCUUGUCAAUAUGUGACUACAUCUCCAAGAUGUGAUCAUACAUAGACCUUUGCUUGCCAAUAGGGCUUGAGUGACCUUAAACUUUUCAAGAACUUGUGGGUUAGGGAGAAUAAUUGGAGGAGGUGAAAGAAGUAUGAUUUCCAUGGGACAUCAUCUUCAUUUAGGAAAGCUUGUUUCAAGAGAUUUGGGAAGAUCAUAAAUGUCUAAACCAGACAUCUUUUGGGAGAUAUUCAAGAUAGUUGAUUUAAAGUCCUUAAUAUAACACCCAAUAUGAAAUAUUAAGGCUAGGACCCAACAAAAUACUUUUAUAACUUGGAAGAGGGAUGUCGUAAUCCAAGCUAUAAAAUAUUUGAAGGUAGGUGAAUGACGAUUCACCAAUUUCCACCAAGAUAAACGAAAUGUAUUAUUAGGUUUUAAUUGGUUUUGAAACUCCUAGAUCUUUGAGAUUCAUUGAACUGUUCAAAGGCAUGUUUCAAUCUCGAGUGUGCCCUUCAGGUUUUGUGACUGGGAUGCCGAGGAUCACAAAACAAGGUGUGAAGUAACCAUGCAAAUCACUUGGUACCCUUAAUAAAUUACCCCUCAAUCGAUGUGCCGGUUAACCACACACGCUCCAUCGAUACUAUGAUAAAUAUUAAGUCACCCUUUACCUACCUUGUUAAGUCCAAGUUAGUGUGCCGGUUAACCACACACGCUCCACUAACGACUUAGACAAAGUGUAAAGUGUAAUUUCAUGGGUUAGCACCUUAUUCACAUUUUUCCUAAGUAACUAAGAUUGGGUAUUUAUAAAAGGUUUAGUUACUUAGUAUUUAUCAUUAAUACUUUUUUUGAAGGGAUAAUUCUAGUCCUUGUCCUAUCUGUUCGGCUAACGACCCUCCACCGGUCAAGGAAGCGGUGGGUGAGAGUGGACACCCAUUAAGCUUCCAUUUUAUAGGCAUUAACCUUAUACUCACCUUAUAGACCGGCUUCGUGAAUGAGGCGUACUAGCGGUAAGACUGACUUUACUCUUAUACAUAUAUAUAUUAUUAACUUAUAAUAUUAUAAAGUAUAAGGGUUGAAUUUUAACUUUUAAAAUUCUAAGGGCUAACUUGGAAUUAAAGUAUUCAUAAGUGAAAACUUUACAAAUUCCAAAACUUGAGGGCAAGUUUUGAAACUAUUCAAAACUAAUUAUUCCCAUAACUUAUGUGUUUAAAGUAGUUUUAAUCCAAAAACUCUUCAAGUUCCAUAACUUGAGGACAAGUUAUGGAAGACUUUAAACUAAUAAAAGAAUGUAACUUUUCUUUAUUUUGUAACUUAUGUAAUUAAUUAAGGUUACACAUUUUAUUACUUAAUGAAGUGACUCUUGAACCUCCAUAACUUGAGGACAAGACUCUUCAUUUUUUGUAACCAUUGCCAACUUUUAUGAGUUUUAUAAAACUUAAAUGUAACCUUUCAUGUAACUUGAGGACAAGUUACAUAAACACAUUUACGAUCAUCUCUUAGAUUAAAAUGGAUUGAAAACACAUAAUCAAUUAACUUAUCUAUUAAUCUAAGCAACUCAUAUGAACAAAGAUAAUUCACAUCAAACUUUUUCAUGUGAUUAGCAUAACUUUUAAACUAAUACAAAACAUGAAUAUAUUGACAAUUAUCUUUGAAAUUGGAUUAGCAUGAACAUUACCACAUCAAAAACAAGUUUACAAGUUCAAAACAGGUUAGGGUAAUGUUCCUAGUCCAAUUCCAGCCAAGAAACACGAAGAUAUGUUGUCUGGAGGCCAAACUCGUCGAGCUCUUUAUGGAACUCGUCGAGUUCAUGCUCUAAUACAUGAACUCGUCAAGUUUUCUACCAGAACUCGUCGAGUUUUAUGGUCUGGACAGAUCCAACUUUGAAAAAACACAUUUGCAUCAAGUAUAAGAGAAAGCAAGCCUAGGCUCUGAUACCACUGUUGGGUUUAGAGCAAUCUAACACUCCUAAGUUUAGAUGCAACCCUAAAUACCUUGGAUCUAUGUUUUCUCUAUUAUACAUGCAAAUAUGAAAUUUCCAAGGUAUUCAUCCUAACUAGCAUAAUAACAUUGAUUCAUAUGAAUAUAUCAAGUUAGAAUUACAUACCUCUUUGAUGUAGAAUGUCUUCAUGAAACUUGAGUGCCUAGUGCCCCAAGGGUGACACCUCAAAUGGUUCACACACCACCAAAUACACUUGGAAUAUAUUAGAGAGAAAUCCACACUUCAUAAAAUUGGCUAGCCCUUUCACAUAUACUCUAGUGCCGAUUCUGUCACCAAUAAGAUCUUUAUAUAGUGUCAUAAUUAGGGUA